Molecule: ribosomal RNA, 474 nt
Filed under: Triticum aestivum (bread wheat)
Lineage: Eukaryota; Viridiplantae; Streptophyta; Magnoliopsida; Poales; Poaceae
Description: partial small subunit ribosomal RNA
Source: RNAcentral
AUGCCAACACCUCCGGUGACCUUUUGCGAUGCAUUUGACCGCCUGAUCUUGCCGGAGAUGGCUUCCACGAGUUCCGGGCAUGGCAGCCGCGGUGGGCUCGACGGCUGCAAGCGGCGCAACGACGACGAGGCCGACAGCUCCUCCCUCCGUCCUCCCGUGUCGGAAAGGCGCAGGGAGCAGGCGCGCACCCACGACGCGAAGUCCCGCAGUGCCGGAGUGCGGGUCCGUCGCCUCGGGUGGCUCUUUGAUCCGUCCAUCCAGCGCCUCAGGGCGGUCGAGCGCGCCUGGUGGGAGGUGAAGGAGGCUGCCGCCACCGAAGAUGCAGUUGCGGCCGCGCGCCUGCCGGCGCUCCGGGAGGAGUACCAACUCGCCUCAACCCUCUCUGGCACGCUCAUCUACAACACCCUCCACGACAACGAGCCCCCGCCUCGCGAGGACGACUCCGGUGACGACGAUGACUUCAGCGAGGAGUAG